AAUCAACGCUGGCGGCGCGCUUAACACAUGCAAGUCGCACGAGAAAGGGAGCAAUCCUGAGUAACGUGGCGUACGGGUGAGUAACACGUGGGAAUCUACCUCUUGGCGGGGAAUAACCCUGGGAAACCGGGGCUAAUACCGCAUAAGCUCGUGAGAGGAAAGCAGCAAUGCACCGAGAGAGGAGCCCGCGGCCGAUUAGCUAGUUGGUGGGGUAAUGGCUCACCAAGGCGAAGAUCGGUAGCCGGCCUGAGAGGGCACACGGCCACACUGGCACUGAAACACGGGCCAGACUCCUACGGGAGGCAGCAGUGGGGAAUCUUGCACAAUGGGGGAAACCCUGAUGCAGCGACGCCGCGUGAGCGAUGAAGCCCUUCGGGGUGUAAAGCUCUUUCGACAGGAACGAUAAUGACGGUACCUGGAGAAGAAGCUGCGGCUAACUACGUG
Molecule: ribosomal RNA, 444 nt
Filed under: uncultured bacterium
Lineage: Bacteria
Description: partial 16S ribosomal RNA
Rfam family: Bacterial small subunit ribosomal RNA
Source: RNAcentral